UACGUAGGUGGCAAGCGUUAUCCGGAAUUAUUGGGCGUAAAGAGCGCGCAGGUGGUUAAUUAAGUCUGAUGUGAAAGCCCACGGCUUAACCGUGGAGGGCCAUUGGAAACUGGUUGACUUGAGUGCAGAGGAGGGAAGUGGAAUUCCAUGUGUAGCGGUGAAAUGCGUAGAGAUAUGGAGGAACACCAGUGGCGAAGGCGGCUUCCUGGUCUGUAACUGACACUGAGGCUCGAAAGCGUGGGGAGCAAACAGG
This 253-nucleotide ribosomal RNA is filed under the name uncultured bacterium. RNAcentral describes it as "partial 16S ribosomal RNA". It matches the Rfam family "Bacterial small subunit ribosomal RNA", at positions 524 to 776 of the family's 1533-position model. The record is from RNAcentral.